This 510-nucleotide ribosomal RNA is filed under the name Triticum aestivum (bread wheat). Its description in RNAcentral is "partial small subunit ribosomal RNA". Lineage: Eukaryota; Viridiplantae; Streptophyta; Magnoliopsida; Poales; Poaceae. The record is from RNAcentral.
AUGGCGAUGCAAGUUGAAAUCCAAAUUUCGAUGCUCUACUUCAGAGUUUACUUCAGUUCGAAUGGCUUGAAAGACACAAAAAGGCUAGAGACCGACAGAUCCGAUCAAUUCAUCAUGCGUACGGAGGAUGGUCUUGGGGCAUCUGCUUUCCUGCAAGCCGUAGCCAAACGCCUUGGAGUAUCAAAUGAGCCGUCAACGAGGCCUGCAGGGCUGCAGUUUGAGAAAAUCAUCCACAUUGACUGCUCAAAGUGGGAGAGCAGAAGAGCAAUGCAAAGGGAAAUAGCAGAGCAGCUGAACCUUCCUAAUUGGGUGAUGGAGAUGUUUGACAAGCAAGAUGAGGAGGAUGAUUUCAAUGGGUUAGACCAGGGCUCCCGAACUGAGAUAGCACAAGUUGUCAGAGAGAUCUAUCAAACUACACAGAAUCAGAGGUUCUUGGUGAUUCUGCAUAAUGGAGGCAAUGAGGAGACUGAUGUGAUAGGAGCUGAAAAUUGGGACAUGAGCCAUUUCUGA